Molecule: ribosomal RNA, 460 nt
Filed under: uncultured bacterium
Lineage: Bacteria
Description: partial 16S ribosomal RNA
Rfam family: Bacterial small subunit ribosomal RNA
Source: RNAcentral
CCUACGGGGGGCAGCAGUGAGGAAUAUUGGUCAAUGGGCGAGAGCCUGAACCAGCCAAGUCGCGUGAAGGAUGACGGCCCUACGGGUUGUAAACUUCUUGUGUCAGGGAGCAAUUGGGUCCACGCGUGGGCUUAGCGAGAGUACCUGAAGAAAAAGCAUCGGCUAACUCCGUGCCAGCAGCCGCGGUAAUGCGUAGGGGGCAAGCGUUAUCCGGAUUCACUGGGUGUAAAGGGAGCGUAGACGGCCAGGCAAGCCUGGGGUGAAAGCCCGGGGCCCAACCCCGGGACUGCUCUGGGAACUGUCCGGCUGGAGUGCGGGAGGGGCAGGCGGAAUUCCUGGUGUAGCGGUGAAAUGCGUAGAUAUCAGGAGGAACACCGGCGGCGAAGGCGGCCUGCUGGACCGCGACUGACGUUGAGGCUCGAAAGCGUGGGGAGCGAACAGGAUUAGAUACCCAGUAGUC